Molecule: long non-coding RNA, 798 nt
Filed under: Mytilus galloprovincialis (Mediterranean mussel)
Lineage: Eukaryota; Metazoa; Mollusca; Bivalvia; Mytilida; Mytilidae
Source: RNAcentral
CAAUACUCCAUACAUCUGUACUGUUUGCUAUUGACAGUAGAAUGUCUCAAGUUUAACAAACAUAUAUUAAUGAUUACUUGUGCUGAAAAUAUCAUUGUAUUAACAUGAUUCGUAAGGUCCGUCUUAUCCGACAGAUCGUCAGAUUUCGUUGAUUCAAUGCCAUGUUGACAGCACUAGUACAUUCAAAGAUCCAAAUCAUACUAAAAUUUCAAUACCACUGCUUGUCGUAAAUUUUUGAAGAUAUGUUAUUAAUUUUCUACCCUGAUAGUUCAAAAUAUAAUCCAUAACAUGAGAUAUGCAGCCACGAAUCCAAAUAUCAAGAUUAAAAUCGUAUGGCAAAGAACAAGAAGAAAGAUAAAAUAUAUGAAUGAAUUUAAGAAAAAAAAUUUGAUCCCAUUUAUAAUAUGUCAAGUUUGGAAGUGACUUGUUUAAUUAAUCAUCAGUAUUAAAGGUGAUAUUUUCAGUGUCGGUCUUGCAUCGUUUCAAUUUCUUAGCCCGAAACUUUGGCAGAAUUCACAACAUACUUUAGCCGUUGAUAUAUAAAAAGGCGAAAUAAAGAUAACCAGAGAUGGUGUUCCCAUUUACGUUUAAUCAUUUAAACUUUUGUGGUUUAGCUUCCAUCUCCUCGUUUAAUCCAUUGUCGUUUCGAGUGUUGAUCAGUUGAUCAAUUAUAUAAGAUUCAUGACAUUGUAACAUAUACUUAAAUAGUAAAUACCUGUUCAAACGUUACAACAAAAGAAAGUAAUCACAUUUUCAGCAAUUUUUCAUCUUUUGUAAUUGUUCCUUCCUUUCUUACAU